This 274-nucleotide ribosomal RNA is filed under the name uncultured bacterium. RNAcentral describes it as "partial 16S ribosomal RNA". It matches the Rfam family "Bacterial small subunit ribosomal RNA", at positions 523 to 796 of the family's 1533-position model. The record is from RNAcentral.
AUACGGAGGGUGCGAGCGUUACUCGGAGUCACUGGGCGUAAAGCGUCCGUAGGCGGUCGGGUAAGUCGGGUGUGAAAGCCCCGGGCUCAACCUGGGAAGUGCACCCGAUACUGCUCGACUCGAGUGCGGGAGAGGCUGGCGGAAUUCCCGGUGUAGCGGUGAAAUGCGUAGAGAUCGGGAGGAACACCAGUGGCGAAGGCGGCCAUCUGGCCCGCAACUGACGCUGAGGGACGAAAGCGUGGGGAGCAAACAGGAUUAGAAACCCUAGUAGUCC